UCCCCCGUGAGGGGGCAGUCUCGCCUGACAUAUAUAACAGACAACGAGGGUUGCGUUCGUUACCCCACUGAAGGGAACAGCUCAAGCCACGAACUGACGACAACCAUGCAUCACCUGCCCAACACCCUCGAAGGCUCUCCACGUUUCUGCGGAGAUGCAGUUGGGUUUCUAGCCCUGGUAAGGUUCUUCGCUUACCGACGAAUUAAGCCACAUGAUCCACUGCUUGUGCGAGUCCCCGUCUAUUCCUUUGAGUUUUAAGCUUGCGCUCGUACUACCCAGGCGGCUCGCUUACCGCGUUAGCUUAGUCCCGCAGAGGGUCGAUACUCCGCAGAACGAGCGAGCAACGUUUAGGGCUAGGACUAC
This 363-nucleotide unclassified non-coding RNA is filed under the name uncultured bacterium. RNAcentral's name for it is "contains 16S-23S intergenic spacer region". The record is from RNAcentral.